Oryza brachyantha (malo sina) is the source of this 793-nucleotide long non-coding RNA. RefSeq lists it as uncharacterized. The record is from RefSeq and is a predicted model, not a curated record. NCBI's taxonomy places the organism in Eukaryota, Viridiplantae, Streptophyta, Magnoliopsida, Poales, Poaceae. The transcript has 2 exons.
CUCCUCGUCAAAGAGAGGAAAAAAAGAAAAGUGUGUAUCGCUACACACUGUACAUAAAUCAUAGUAAUAAUACAUAUAAACACGCCAUGUGCGCACGCGAGGCGAUUCCAAAGCUCGCCCCUGUCGCGUUGCGUGCCGAAAGGCGUUCUUGAUGCCCAAAUUCCCUGUGCAGCAUCUUGUUGUCUCCAUCAGGGCACGCCUCCGGCCGGGGCCCAAUCAGAUGCACAUCUUUGUCCGCUCAUGAUCGGAUCGGAUCCGAUCGAUCGAGCGAGCAAUGGCAGCCAACCUUUCUGGGCAUCAAUGGAGAUGAUGGUGCCUGCAACGGCAAAAUGGAUCGAUCCAGUUGGAGGAGGCUUGGCUUCCCCCUUUUUUUUUGUGUCUGCCUUUCUUUGGAUCUUGUGAUCGGAAUUCUCUUUCUUGGUUGGAUUCCAUUUUGCCAGCUUCUGUUUCGGACUGUUGUUGGUAAUAAGAGCAGGGGUGGAACCAUGAGUUUUCUAAACCCAGGACUCAGGACUCAAACGAUAUAGUAUAAACUAUUUGGAUAAAUUUUAGCUAAAAUUUAAUAUAAUUAUAAUGUAAUUUUUAGCUAGGCAUGAGGUCUAAGCCCAAGCCGAUGCCUGUUCCACCCCUGAAUAAGAGUGGAGAAAAGAAAAUAGUUCUCGUGGGAAUCUCUCUCCGAGUAGUGAAUUAUGAUGGGCAGGAUGUGUGGCCGAAUAAAUCGUGAUGCUGUCGUUGGGUCUGUUUGUCAGUGUUUGUAUAUAUUUUCGACGAGAAAUAUUUCGUUUGCGAGUAA